UGGAAGACAAACUGAAUGCCAGGGAAAUUAUUAAUUUGAGCUCUGGUUGGAGCUUUUGAUAAUCUUUGUGAGACCUCCGUCGUCCGAGAACCAUGAUUCUUGAUUCUCGUACACCAUCGCUGAGAGAGCUACACAUCCAGAUCCCGAAGCAGGAGCCACCCACAUGACCUGAAUUUCGGUCUUGGGCAAAUCAUCGGCUUCUGAAACUGUAUUCACGCACUUCUCAUUGAAUGUGGUCAGGGAAUCACCAAAGAGCUGGAAGCGUCCAACUCUCUUGGGACUGGCCAUGGAGAAGAUGGCAGUGUUGAGAUUUGGAGUGGAAGAAGCCUGAACACUGAGCAUAAAGUGCGUGAAUUGCUGCAAACGCAAAUGUGUUCGAGAUCCCAGCAAAAAGAGAUUGUAAAUCUUCCCAGGUUCAUAUCCAUUGGGUUCCCCACCAAUUAUCAACCGAUACCCAUUGUCACCCCUCGUCCGGCGACUGUAGUUCUCAAAUGGUGGCACUUUUCGACAUCCUGACACCUCCUGAGCCACAAAAAGCACAAAAACUAGCAAGAAAAUCCCCUUGAGGACCAUUUCUGGCGAUUUACGGAACACAACUGCUGAGAGCACGAGAGAUAAUCUCAAUUGACGCCUCCAGGCUCACCAAUUAGCAUCUUCUCUUGAGGCAUCUUGCGGCCUCGAGCUCCAUAGUCGCAAUUGAGAAAAGGCAACCUCUGACCUCGUCUGAGAGUCUCAGUGCGAUAAGAAGUUACCCCAGAGAGUUAAAAUGACUCUCAGCUCCCGGAAAAUCUCUUUAAAAAAAAACCAAUAUCUCUCUUUUCAAUCGAGGAAUCUUUAUUAUUUUUUUUAAUCUAUUAUAGUAAAAUUCAUUGAAGGCUCUUAAGCCAAAUUGGUAUCAUAAUGAAUAUAAAUAUCUCUUUUAUCGCUUUUUAUCUCAUAAAAAAAAUCACUCAAAAGAAAACUAUUUUAAAUCCCACAAAAAAAACAAA
Long non-coding RNA from Phlebotomus papatasi, 989 nucleotides. RefSeq lists it as uncharacterized. The transcript is spliced from 2 exons. Lineage: Eukaryota; Metazoa; Arthropoda; Insecta; Diptera; Psychodidae. The record is from RefSeq and is a predicted model, not a curated record.